Molecule: ribosomal RNA, 492 nt
Filed under: uncultured bacterium
Lineage: Bacteria
Description: partial 16S ribosomal RNA
Rfam family: Bacterial small subunit ribosomal RNA
Source: RNAcentral
AGUGAACGCUGGCGGUAGGCCUAACACAUGCAAGUCGAACGGCAGCACAGUAAGAGCUUGCUCUUACGGGUGGCGAGUGGCGGACGGGUGAGGAAUACAUCGGAAUCUACUUUUUCGUGGGGGAUAACGUAGGGAAACUUACGCUAAUACCGCAUACGACCUACGGGUGAAAGCAGGGGAUCUUCGGACCUUGCGCGAUUGAAUGAGCCGAUGUCGGAUUAGCUAGUUGGCGGGGUAAAGGCCCACCAAGGCGACGAUCCGUAGCUGGUCUGAGAGGAUGAUCAGCCACACUGGAACUGAGACACGGUCCAGACUCCUACGGGAGGCAGCAGUGGGGAAUAUUGGACAAUGGGCGCAAGCCUGAUCCAGCCAUACCGCGUGGGUGAAGAAGGCCUUCGGGUUGUAAAGCCCUUUUGUUGGGAAAGAAAUCCAGCCGGCUAAUACCUGGUUGGGAUGACGGUACCCAGAGAAUAAGCACCGGCUAACUUCGUG